This is a long non-coding RNA of Oryzias sinensis (Chinese medaka), 3002 nucleotides long. The record is from Ensembl. Lineage: Eukaryota; Metazoa; Chordata; Actinopteri; Beloniformes; Adrianichthyidae.
CUUAAUAUUUCAGUGUUUAACUGCAUGAGACAAUAUAGGUUAUUCUCUUUUUUUUCCUGUUCAGUUUACAUAAAGAUAUGGAGAAUCUUAUUUGUUGACAUCCUACAUGGUGGCAGAUUAUGAUGCUGGUUUAGUGCGGAGACCAUCACUUGCUGUGCAAAACUAUCCUGCAGCUUUUUGACGUGAAAGGGUUUGUAGAUGAGCUCAGAGAAAAUGCUGUUAUAUUUCCUAAUCAUUUAAGAAGAAAAACACAUUCUCCCAAAAUGCUCUCUUUAAUAGAUUUAUGUUAUCUCCCACAUUGUAAACUUGCAACUCAGCUAAUGUUCUACAAAUAUGUUAAAAAUUUCUGGGCUUCCAAACCCAAGCACUGUAGAUGCCUGCUAUGGAACCGUUUUUUUUUUUUUAAUUGCCAACACUCUGUGUCCUUCAUUCUGCCAUCCAGGCACUAAUGUAAAUGAAAAGCAUUGGGACAUGGCGUGUUUCUAAUGUGUGGACAGGGACAAAAACCUUGGAUCUGGGGUAUUCUGUCGGCCCUGUGACACACAUCCCAGCCUCGACCUGCAUACACAUCUUCACCUCCCCUUUUUCUCCUCCUUUUCAAUUGAUGGCUCUUCUAAAUCAAUAAAAAUGAUCUUGGAGUCCAUCACCAUUUGGCUGCAUCAUCUUAGAAGUGCCUUCUUUAGAAUAUAGCAGCCAUACUGUACAAUGGGCCAGCCAAGCACACAUAAUUUGCCAUUGAUUUCCCCACUCUCUUCUCGACUCCUUAGCCCCUAGUCACUGCACAGAGCACAAAAACUAACUUCAUCAUAGACUCCGUUAAUGCACAUGCACAAUAACCCUCUUUUCUCCUGCCCUCUGGUAAUUUCACUCUUUUCUUAUCUUUUUCACUUUCCCUAUUUUUGCUCCUUUUCUAUCCUUCGUCGUUCACUUAUCCACUAUGUGCCCUUUUCCUGAAAUCUCUUCACAGGUCACUGUUCUUUCUCCUUAUGGACAACAUGUGCAAAUGACGCAAGAGCUUGUUGUUCAGCUUCUACUUGGACUCCGGAUCCAGAUCCAGCUUCCAUGCUUUACAUGGGCCCACAUGUACUUUAGGUGGCACAGGAAGGAUGAACAAAAAGAGGAAGAUGAAGAAGAAGAAGGGGAAGACAAGACGGGAGCAGGAGGCCCCUUUUUUCCCUCCCUUUUGAGCAGCUGACAGGUGGGAGGACACAGAAUGAGGAAGAGCAAAAAACUGCAGGCGGGGAGCACCUUUAAUCCUCCAGAACAUUGGACUGAAUCUGUUUUGUUUAAGCCGUUUGUCAGGUAAAAAGUAAUUAUGGCUUUUGGAAAUUGGAAUACACCUAAAUCCUGUAGUACUUAGAAAAAAAGUGUCUUGUAUUUAGCAAUAAAGAAACACUGUUUGUUGAAAGGCUGAACUCUUGGUGCUACAAUCUUUCAAAGACAAAGCAACAGACUGAAGAUGUACAAGGAGAUUGCUUUAUCUUUAGUGGCCACAUGAGCACACACACGGGGACACACCAACAACCCAUCCUCUGCAGUGGCUCCUUCUUCCCCUGAAUGAAUGGAAGCCUCAGUUCCCUUUGGCUCCCGGCCCUCUUCAUGCCCCGCUGCUGACUGGCAGAUUGGAAGAAACAAAUUGCUGCGUCCUCAGAAUGAUAAUGAGCGAAGCAAUGAAAGUUGUUUUGUUUCAGGAAGCCUGUGAAGCCAAACCUUUGGCUCACCUGGCUGAUUUUUGAUGCUCUGAUGCUAAAGAGCAAAUUAUUUGAUGUUAUGCAGUGCUUCCAUUUACAAAAUUGCAAAGGAUUUUGCUGUUAUUUCUUAAAGUAUCUAUCUAAAAAUGGUGAUGGGAUGCAGGGCAGAAUGUCCAGGAUUGGUUUGGGCCUUAAAAAUAAAAGCCUCCUUUGACGUCUUUGAGAAAUCUCCAUCUCCACCCAUAUUGUAUCUGAGGUGUGAUAGCAAAGAACUUGGUGGCAUUUUAAUAAUCAAGUCUCUCGAGUGAAGAGUUCCCUCCCCUCACGCGCUGCCGCCUCUGGUACUGCUCCAGAGUCUCUAUCAACAAGUCAAUAGAGGCUGUAGCCUGCCAAGACAUUAGCUAGGAAGCCAUGGAGGUGUGCAGGGCUUAUUAUAAGCCUCUUAGUGAUUCUGCAGGAGGUGAAGAAAUGGUCUCUGUUAGGGGAAUCAAUCCUUGGGUAAUUACCUAGCCACACUCCAGGCUGCUGAAGAGGACUAGAACUGGGCUGAGACUGUGAAGACUACUGAGCUCCAGCUCAAUAAGAGCCUCUAAGGAGUGUCCAUUGUCUCAGACUUAAGAGAGGGGAGACGGUUGAUAAUGAUAAUGAUGAUGACGAUGAUGAUGAUAAAUACACAGCCAGUAAUCAAGUGGUGUUUGAUGGACACAAGUGCACAGCGAGGCUCAUCAGGCGUUAGCUGCACACAGACAAACGAUCUAUAAUCCAUCCAUCCUCUAGACUUGAUUCUCCUCUUAUGGGUCUUUACCUGCACACAAUUUCAGAGAGGAAAAGCAUGGAAAUAAAACAAGAAAAAAACAUUCAUCCUGUUUUUGAUCCUCCUCCAUAAGUUUCCUGUUCGCUGAAAUCCCAACUUUAGAUCAAAAAUAAGAUUCCCUUUUCUUUUUUGGCCAAGGUAAACAUCAUGUCAAACUGGGGAAAAACAGAAUGACCUUUAUAUCAGACAUUCAUCUCAGAUUUUUUGUUUUGUUGUCAUCUGAAACAGAAGAGAUUUUCUUAAAGAUUAUUGAUUAACAAUGCAUUGCUUCUUUUUCAAACUAGUCAGAAUAAUAUGUAUCCUUCUGGUCUAGAAGACAGACCCAUUGAGACCUCACUUGCUAACCAGAGCUUCCAAUUAAACUGUUUUUAUGUAGACCCUUACAAAAAACAUCUAGUAAUCUGCAACCACCCCAUUCUAAUGUUUAAUAUUCAAUUAAAAACCUAGAAAUAUAUUUUUUGAAAAAACACAUUUGAUUAGUUCUUCUUAAAAACCCA